This 333-nucleotide ribosomal RNA is filed under the name uncultured bacterium. RNAcentral's name for it is "bacterial SSU rRNA". It matches the Rfam family "Bacterial small subunit ribosomal RNA", at positions 28 to 355 of the family's 1533-position model. The record is from RNAcentral.
GAUGAACGCUAGCUACAGGCUUAACACAUGCAAGUCGAGGGGCAGCAUGAAAGUAGCUUGCUACUUUUGAUGGCGACCGGCGCACGGGUGCGUAACGCGCAUCCAACUUUCCCGUUACUCUCGGAUAGCCUUCCGAAAGGGAGAUUAAUACGAGAUGGUGUUCAAAUUCCGCAUGUUAUUGAACUAAAGAUUCAUCGGUAACGGAUAGGGAUGCGUGACAUUAGAUAUUGGGGGGUAACGGGCCCGACCAAGUCUACGAUGUCUAGGGUUCUGAGAGGAAGGUCCCCACACUGGAACUGAGACACGGUCCAGACGUCCUACGGAGGCAGCAGU